RNAcentral lists this ribosomal RNA (579 nucleotides) under Selenomonas sp. oral taxon H64. Its description in RNAcentral is "bacterial SSU rRNA". It matches the Rfam family "Bacterial small subunit ribosomal RNA", at positions 9 to 468 of the family's 1533-position model. The record is from RNAcentral. Lineage: Bacteria; Bacillati; Bacillota; Negativicutes; Selenomonadales; Selenomonadaceae.
GAGUUUGAUCCUGGCUCAGGACGAACGCUGGCGGCGUGCUUAACACAUGCAAGUCGAACGAAAUUAAAAAAUUAUCAUUGAGCUCUCCGAUGAGAUGGGAGCCAAGCGUCGUGACCGCGGAGCGGGCACCACGCGUUCAACAAGUGCAACACCAAGUCGAAGGGUUGAAUGGUAAUUUUUUAAUUUAGUGGCAAACGGGUGAGUAACACGUAGACAACCUGCCGACAGGAUGGGGACAACAUUCCGAAAGGAAUGCUAAUACCGAAUGAAGUCAGAGGAGGGCAUCCUCCUCUGAUGAAAGAUGGCCUCUAUUUAUAAGCUAUCACCUGUUGAUGGGUCUGCGUCUGAUUAGCUAGUUGGUGAGGUAACGGCUCACCAAGGCGACGAUCAGUAGCCGGUCUGAGAGGAUGAACGGCCACAUUGGGACUGAGACACGGCCCAGACUCCUACGGGAGGCAGCAGUGGGGAAUCUUCCGCAAUGGGCGCAAGCCUGACGGAGCAACGCCGCGUGAGUGAAGAAGGUCUUCGGAUCGUAAAGCUCUGUUGACGGGGACGAACGUGCGGAGUGCGAAUAGCGCU